Molecule: ribosomal RNA, 430 nt
Filed under: uncultured Desulfobacca sp.
Lineage: Bacteria; Pseudomonadati; Thermodesulfobacteriota; Desulfobaccia; Desulfobaccales; Desulfobaccaceae
Description: bacterial SSU rRNA
Rfam family: Bacterial small subunit ribosomal RNA
Source: RNAcentral
UGAGGAAUAUUGCGCAAUGGGGGAAACCCUGACGCAGCGAUGCCGCGUGAGUGAAGAAGGCCUUCGGGUCGUAAAGCUCUGUCAAGCGGGAAGAACAGCUCUAGGGCUAAUAUCCCUAGGGUGUGACGGUACCGCUGAAGGAAGCACCGGCUAACUCCGUGCCAGCAGCCGCGGUAAGACGGAGGGUGCGAGCGUUAUUCGGAAUUAUUGGGCGUAAAGGGUGUGCAGGCGGUCGGCCAAGCCAGAGGUGAAAGCCCGGGGCUCAACCUCGGAAGUGCCUUUGGAACUGGUCGACUUGAGUUCGGGAGAGGAAAGCGGAAUUCCGGGUGUAGAGGUGAAAUUCGUAGAUAUCCGGAGGAACACCGGUGGCGAAGGCGGCUUUCUGGACCGAAACUGACGCUGAGACACGAAAGCGUGGGGAGCAAACAGG